CACGUGGGCAACCUGCCCAAAAGAGGGGGAUAACACUUGGAAACAGGUGCUAAUACCGCAUAACCAUAGUUACCGCAUGGUAACUAUGUAAAAGGUGGCUAUGCUACCGCUUUUGGAUGGGCCCGCGGCGCAUUAGCUAGUUGGUGGGGUAAAGGCUUACCAAGGCAAUGACGCGUAGCCGAACUGAGAGGUUGAUCGGCCACAUUGGGACUGAGACACGGCCCAUACUCCUACGGGAGGCAGCAGUAGGGAAUCUUCCACAAUGGACGAAAGCCUGAUGGAGCAACGCCGCGUGGGUGAAGAAUGUCUUCGGAUCGUAAAACCCUGUUGUUAGAGAAGAAAGUGCGUGAGAGUAACUGUUCACGUUUCGACGGUAUCUAACC
Molecule: ribosomal RNA, 383 nt
Filed under: uncultured bacterium
Lineage: Bacteria
Description: bacterial SSU rRNA
Rfam family: Bacterial small subunit ribosomal RNA
Source: RNAcentral